CAGAAAUCGGUCCAGUGACAAUUACCACAGAUCCCAAGAAAUUUCAAUAUGAACUCAGAGAACUUUAUGUUCAGGGUGGUGGAGAUUGUCCAGAAAUGAGUAUUGGAGCUAUAAAAAUUGCCUUGGAAAUAUCUCUUCCUGGUUCUUUCAUCUAUGUUUUCACUGAUGCACGGUCCAAGGAUUACCGGCUCACCCAUGAGGUGCUGCAGCUUAUCCAACAGAAACAGUCUCAGGUGGUGUUUGUGCUUACUGGAGACUGUGAUGACAGGAACCAUAUUGGAUAUAAAGUUUAUGAAGAAAUUGCUUCUACAAGUUCUGGU
Molecule: non-coding RNA, 320 nt
Organism: Castor canadensis (American beaver)
Lineage: Eukaryota; Metazoa; Chordata; Mammalia; Rodentia; Castoridae
Source: RefSeq, a predicted model, not a curated record